This 753-nucleotide ribosomal RNA is filed under the name Capnocytophaga ochracea. RNAcentral describes it as "bacterial SSU rRNA". It matches the Rfam family "Bacterial small subunit ribosomal RNA", at positions 28 to 776 of the family's 1533-position model. Lineage: Bacteria; Pseudomonadati; Bacteroidota; Flavobacteriia; Flavobacteriales; Flavobacteriaceae. The record is from RNAcentral.
GAUGAACGCUAGCGGCAGGCCUAACACAUGCAAGUCGAGGGGGAAGUUACUUUCGGGUAACAGAGACCGGCGUACGGGUGCGUAACGCGUAUACAAUCUGCCUUUCACUGGGGGAUAGCCCGAAGAAAUUUGGAUUAAUACCCCAUAGUAUAGUAGUGUGGCAUCACACGACUAUUAAAGCCUUGGUGGUGAAAGAUGAGUAUGCGUUCUAUUAGCUAGUUGGAGAGGUAACGGCUCCCCAAGGCGAUGAUAGAUAGGGGUUCUGAGAGGGAUGUCCCCCACACUGGUACUGAGAUACGGACCAGACUCCUACGGGAGGCAGCAGUGAGGAAUAUUGGACAAUGGUCGGAAGACUGAUCCAGCCAUGCCGCGUGCAGGAUGAAGGUCUUAUGGAUUGUAAACUGCUUUUGUAAGGGAAGAAUAAGAGCUACGCGUAGUUUGAUGACGGUACCUUACGAAUAAGCAUCGGCUAACUCCGUGCCAGCAGCCGCGGUAAUACGGAGGAUGCGAGCGUUAUCCGGAAUCAUUGGGUUUAAAGGGUCUGUAGGCGGGGCUUGUAAGUCAGAGGUGAAAGCGCUCAGCUCAACUGAGCAACUGCCUUUGAAACUGUUGGUCUUGAAUGGUUGUGAAGUAGUUGGAAUGUGUAGUGUAGCAGUGAAAUGGCGUAGAUAUGUGGAGGAAUACCGAUGGCGAAGGCAGCCCCCUGGGAUAACACUGACGCUCAUGCACGAAAGCGUGGGGAAGCAAAACAGG